This 2071-nucleotide long non-coding RNA is filed under the name Homo sapiens (human). RNAcentral describes it as "HSALNT0236252". Lineage: Eukaryota; Metazoa; Chordata; Mammalia; Primates; Hominidae. The record is from RNAcentral.
AGCUUUGGCAGGCUGUGGAGGAGAGUUGGACCUGGGAGAGCAGAGAGGAGAUUUACACAGGUCCACGUGGAGGCUGGUGCAGUCUGGCUUCGGUUAGGACCCAAGGGCAGGGAUGGGGAGGUGGUGCUGCCCUGUCAGAGUGCCCUUUGGCCUGUCGUCCCGGGCUUGGCUGCCACAUAGGAGUGCUUCGGUUUCUGGUACUCUUGCCAAAGGCUGGCAGGACUGAACAGUCUCUCAGUCUUCAUGCUUUUCCCCUGAAAGAACCGGCUGCCUAGCCCCGGCCUUUAGCCUUCUCUCGUCACACUCAGUAUCCUUGUUGCUUCUGCUUCCCUAGAGACGGGGCUUUGGGAGAGUAGGUAGCUGGAAACUAAAGAUCAUCCCCCAAAUGAAGGGCCUGUAGCCAAGAUAGGAGUAGUUUGGGGUUGGGAAAGGGAAAGGAAGAAAGAUUUAAACAAGCAUUUAUUGAAUACUUAUGGUGCACAAGCCAGGGCACCAGGCAUUGGGGAAAUGCAUAUUAUCCAAGAUGCUGCUCCAAGGGAAUUCACAUGCUGACAAUAAUGUAGAACAUUUGAAUGAGCAGUACCUCUGGGGUAAGAAGCAGCUGGAUAUGUGAGGUGUGUAGUUGAGGACAGGGUUCAGGGCUGGAGAAGAUUUGGGAGGGGGCAGGUCACCCAGGGAGGAUGACUGGAGUGGAAAGAGACGUGGGCUUAAGUGGAACCACAUCACACCACAUUUUAGGGGCAAGAGGAGCCCCUUUAAGGAGCGUGAAGAGGACUUGGAGAAGGCCAUGUCCCAGAAAAGAACUUCAAACAGGAGGCAGAAAACAUAGAAAACAUCGUGCUGUUGAGAAAUGUCCAUUGGAUCUGGGGAAGAGUAAGACCUCGUGAAGGAAGGAGAGAAGAUGGUGCGGUGAGGUGCCGGCCCUGCUCCGCCGCCACUCACACCUCAGCACAGGGACUGUGGCAACCCAGGCGCCUGCCCUACUUGGUUCCUGAAUGAAAUUCUUAAGUUUGCAGGAUGGCAGAUAAGAAAAGAAACCUCUUGCUGAAAUGCUGAAACUUCCUCUGCUUAUGAGAUUAAAAAAACUGGCUGAAAUCAGUUGGAAUCCAUAUGGCCAGCUGGAGUCUAUGCAGAAUGAGCCCGCUGACCUCACAGCCUUUCCACUGCACCUUUCACACUAGCGCCCCCCAAAUUUGCACCUAUGACCCAUGAAGAGGCAUGAAGAUACCACUGUGGAGGCCCGAGGACUUUCCAGACCUUUCCUUCCCUUCCACUAAUCACCUAUUCAUCUCAGAAUCCACCCGCUAAACAUUUUUUUUUUUUUUUUGAGACGGGAGUCUCGCUCUGUCGCCCAGGCUGGAGUGCAGUGGUGCGAUCUCCGCUCACUGCAAGCUCCGCCUGCCGGGUUCACGCCAUUCUCCUGCGUCAGCCUCCCGAGUAGCUGGGAAUACAGGCGUCUGCCACCACUAAUUUUUUUGUAUUUUUUAGUAGAGAUGGGGUUUCACCGUGUUAGCCAGGAUGGUCUCGAUCUCAUGACCUCGUGAUCCGCCCGCCUUGGCCUCGGAAAGUGCUGGGAUUACAGGCGUGAGCCACCGCGCCCGGCUUAAACAUUUUCUAAUGAAGACACUGCCUUAAAGCUGGCACAGAAAGAUUUGAGCUGGACUUCUGUCUCCUUGUUGGUCGAACUGCGAUAACAAGCUUUCGUUUUCUCAAAAACCUGGUGCCAUAGUAUCGGCUUCUAGUGCAUGGGGCAGCGAGCCCUUUCACUCGGUAACACUGCGUCAGGAACUGGCAUGCAUUUUGGUGGUCUCACAACCCCAGCUCUGCCCCCCAGCACAUCUCGUUGAGAGGUGACAGCGUGCCGGCAGCUCUCGGCGCCUCCUCGGCCUUGGCGCCCACUCUGGCCUUGCUUGAGAAGCCCUUCAGCCCGCCGCUGCACUGCGGGAGCCCCUUUCUGCGCUGGCCAAGGCCGGAGCCGGCACCCUCAGCUUGCGGGGAGGUGUGGAGGGAGAGGCGCGAGCGGGAACAGGGGCUGCGCGCGGUGCUUGCUGGCCAGCGUGAGUUCCGGGUG